This 292-nucleotide ribosomal RNA is filed under the name uncultured bacterium. Its description in RNAcentral is "partial 16S ribosomal RNA". It matches the Rfam family "Bacterial small subunit ribosomal RNA", at positions 505 to 796 of the family's 1533-position model. The record is from RNAcentral.
GUGACAGCAGCCGCGGUAAUACGUAGGCAGCAAGCGUUGUUCGGAGUUACUGGGCGUAAAGGGUGUGUAGGCGGUUCUUUAAGUUUGGUGUGAAAUCUCCCGGCUCAACCGGGAGGGUGCGCCGAAUACUGAGGGACUAGAGUGUGGGAGAGGAAAGUGGAAUUCCUGGUGUAGCGGUGAAAUGCGUAGAUAUCAGGAGGAACACCGGUGGUGUAGACGGCUUUCUGGACCAUAACUGACGCUGAGACACGAAAGCGUGGGGAGCAAACAGGAUUAGAUACCCCUGUAGUCC